RNAcentral lists this ribosomal RNA (498 nucleotides) under uncultured bacterium. RNAcentral describes it as "partial 16S ribosomal RNA". It matches the Rfam family "Bacterial small subunit ribosomal RNA", at positions 28 to 507 of the family's 1533-position model. The record is from RNAcentral.
GACGAACGCUGGCGGCGUGCCUAAUACAUGCAAGUCGAGCGGACGAAUCGAAAGCUUGCUUUUGAUUCGUUAGCGGCGGACGGGUGAGUAACACGUGGGCAACCUGCCCUGUAGACGGGGAUAACACCGAGAAAUCGGUGCUAAUACCGGAUAACACGAAAUGUCGCAUGACGUUUCGUUGAAAGACGGCGCAAGCUGCCGCUACAGGGUGGGCCCGCGGCGCAUUAGCUAGUUGGUGAGGUAACGGCUCACCAAGGCGACGAUACGUAGCCGACCUGAGAGGGUGAUCGGCCACACUGGGACUGAGACACGGCCCAGACUCCUACGGGAGGCAGCAGUAGGGAAUCUUCCGCAAUGGACGAAAGUCUGACGGAGCAACGCCGCGUGAGCGAAGAAGGCCUUCGGGUCGUAAAGCUCUGUUGUUAGGGAAGAACAAGUAACGCAGUAACUGGCGUUACCGUGACGGUACCUAACGAGAAAGCCACGGCUAACUACGUG